AGAGUUUGAUCAUGGCUCAGAACGAACGCUGGCGGCAGGCUUAACUCAUGCAAGUCGAGCGGGAAGCAUCCUUCGGGAUGUGGAGAGCGGCAGACGGGUGAGUAACACGUGGGAACGUACCCUUUGGUUCGGAACAACUCCGGGAAACUGGAGCUAAUACCGGAUAAGCCCUGUGGGGGAAAGAUUUAUCGCCGAAGGAUCGGCCCGCGUCUGAUUAGCUUGUUGGUGGGGUAAUGGCCCACCAAGGCGACGAUCAGUAGCUGGUCUGAGAGGAUGAUCAGCCACAUUGGGACUGAGACACGGCCCAAACUCCUACGGGAGGCAGCAGUGGGGAAUAUUGGACAAUGGGCGCAAGCCUGAUCCAGCCAUGCCGCGUGAGUGAUGAAGGCCUUAGGGUUGUAAAGCUCUUUCGCACGCGACGAUAAUGACGGUAGCGUGACAAGAAGCCCCGGCUAACUUCGUGCCAGCAGCCGCGGUAAUACGAAGGGGGCUAGCGUUGUUCGGAAUCACUGGGCGNNAAAGCGCAUGCAGGCGGGUCGUUAAGUUAGGGGUGAAAUCCCGAGGCUCAACCUCGGAACUGCCUCUAAUACUGGCGAUCUUGAGUCCGGGAGAGGUGAGUGGAACUGCGAGUGUAGAGGUGAAAUUCGUAGAUAUUCGCAAGAACACCAGUGGCGAAGGCGGCUCACUGGCCCGGGUACUGACGCUCAGGUGCGAAAGCGUGGGGAGCAAACAGGAUUAGAUACCCUAGUAGUCC
RNAcentral lists this ribosomal RNA (754 nucleotides) under uncultured bacterium. Its description in RNAcentral is "bacterial SSU rRNA". It matches the Rfam family "Bacterial small subunit ribosomal RNA", at positions 8 to 796 of the family's 1533-position model. The record is from RNAcentral.